Molecule: long non-coding RNA, 1442 nt
Organism: Hylaeus volcanicus
Lineage: Eukaryota; Metazoa; Arthropoda; Insecta; Hymenoptera; Colletidae
Exons: 5
Source: RefSeq, a predicted model, not a curated record
AACUCAGUGGUUCUUUAACACCUCUUUAUGAGGAUUUUGUCUCUGAUACCACCAGUGAUAAGGAUCAACGUGACACUUGUGCACCACACUUUCUUUCACUACCACAAACCGAGUCCAUCAUUGAUUUAGUGUCAGUAGGCAGACUUUCAAUUAAACCUAUAAAACAGAAUAAUCAAGUAGCUUCUUAUGAAAUCUAUUUGUAUAUUGGGUCCAAAAUUUUAAAAGGGCAUUUGAAACCCUUGACAAAACCCUUCCUAUGUUGCCAACCUUCUUGUGAAAAUGUCUCAAGUUUAACUAUUUCUAGUUUAGAGGAAAGUGACAUGCCUUCUCUAACAACAUAUGGUAUAGUCCGUGAAAAAAUUGUUUUUGAUACACGACCUAUUACGCAGUGGAUUUAAAUAUUUGUUAGUCUGUACUAAGGAUCGUGAUUCGAAUUCUUCGCGACACUGACUUGAUAUUUCCUUAUUUGAUGUUUUAGUUUUUUUUUUUCUCAUCUCGGUCUACAAAUUCCUGUUUUCUGGGUUAAUUGUAAAAUUAAUAAAAAAUCUUUAUUUGACAAUUUCCUUUCCUUUUAAUAAUUGUUUCUUUUCUUCCUUAUUAUUAAAAAAAAAAAUUUAUAAUCUUAUAAAUUUUCACUGUAUACACAAUAUUAAGAGACGCUUUUAUUUAAAGAGUCUAUGUAUUGAAGACGCCUCAUGCGGAUUACACCUCGUUACGAUGAAAUAUCUACCUUUUUAAAACAAAAAAAAAUUCACAAAAUUGUAAUUAUCUAAGUAACCCCGUUUAAUUUUUUUCUAAUUUCGCGACAUUGUUUUUUUUGAUACUCCUCCUUAUGUAAGUUUUACCCGAGACUCUUCUCUUAAAGAAAUGUAAAAAAAAAGCAAGAUGACGAUUCAUCAUCGUUUUUAAAAUAACAAUACAAAAAAAAUGCAUUUCUUAGUCGACAAAUCAAACGUUCAAUUUUAUUAGUGUCUAAAAGAUUGCAUUAUAAACCUAUCGCAAUCUCCUUGUAAAGCCAUUUGUUGUUAUUUAAGUUCAUGCAUAAUUCAACAUCAAUAACAAAUUCUUCAACGAAGGUUAACCAUGAAACAAUUACUUUAAAGAAGAAAAAGAAAUAACCAACGAAAUGGUUCUACACAAUUUCUUUUUUGAAUUUGUCUUACCGAAAGAAAACCACAAUGCUGCUUAUAAGACUGCUUUCACUAGUCAAUGCAAAAUCAAUUAUAUACAGGCAGGCGACUAUGAAUAAACAUCUAACUGUUAAGCGAGUCAGAUGCAGCUUAAUUCCUGUGUAUUACUUAUUCGUUUAAUGUAAGGCAAGGUAUACGGCAGUAACGGUUCAUGAAAUAAGAUAUUUUGAACGUUGACAAGUUUAGUCCAUACAAAAAAUUUAAAUUUUUCCAAUGGUAGCAGAUCCUUAUUAAAUUUUUUUUACAUGCUUG